RNAcentral lists this long non-coding RNA (343 nucleotides) under Olea europaea (common olive). RNAcentral describes it as "long non-coding RNA (OEUR_LNC012805)". The record is from RNAcentral. Lineage: Eukaryota; Viridiplantae; Streptophyta; Magnoliopsida; Lamiales; Oleaceae.
UAUAUGCAUGCAGUUCCGGGUACGGGUAUGUGGGAGUGUGUGGACUUUUACCCAGUUUCGAUGAGUGAGAUAAACGGUUUGGACACGUCGGUAAGCGGGUCGGGUGUUAAGCAUGUGCUGAAAGCAAGUUUGGAUGAUGACAAGAAUGAUUAUUAUGCACUUGGGGUCUACGAUCCAAUUGAGGAUAAGUGGAUACCGGAUGACCCAAAAUUGGAUGUUGGAAUCGGGUUAAGAUAUGAUUAUGGUAAAUAUUAUGCUUCCAAGACAUUUUAUGAUCAGAAUAAGCAGAGGAGAAUUUUGUGGGGUUGGAUUAGAGAAACUGAUAGUGAAUAUGCUGACAUUU